UCACGUCUUGCGACGGCGGUUUCACUAGAGUUCCCAGCAUUACCUGAUGGCAACUAGUGAUGGGGGUUGCGCUCGUUGCGGGACUUAACCCAACAUCUCACGACACGAGCUGAUGACAGCCAUGCAGCACCUGUGUCCAGGUCCCGUAAGGGAAGGAAUCCAUCUCUGGAAACCGUCCUGGCAUGUCAAACGCUGGUAAGGUUCUGCGCGUUGCUUCGAAUUAAUCCGCAUGCUCCGCCGCUUGUGCGGGCCCCCGUCAAUUCCUUUGAGUUUUAGCCUUGCGGCCGUACUCCCCAGGCGGGGCGCUUAAUGCGUUAGCUGCGGCACAGAGAACCGGAGGGGCCCCCCACACCUAGCGCCCAACGUUUACAGCGUGGACUAC
RNAcentral lists this unclassified non-coding RNA (382 nucleotides) under uncultured bacterium. RNAcentral's name for it is "contains 16S-23S intergenic spacer region". The record is from RNAcentral.